GGAGUCUGGUCCGUGUCUCAGUACCAGUGUGGGGGACCUUCCUCUCAGAACCCCUAUCCAUCGUCGGCCAGGUGGGCCGUUACCCCGCCUGCAACCUAAUGGAACGCAUCCCCAUCCCUGUCCUUCACAUUUAGUGGAAACACCAUGCGGCGCAACCACGCCAUCGGGGGUUAAUCCUCAUUUCUAAGGGCUGUCCCCGGGACAGGGGCAGGUUGGAUACGCGUUACUCACCCAUCCGCCGGUCGCCGCCAGGAGUUGCAAGCAACUCCAGCGCUGCCCCUCGACUUGCAUGUGUUAAGCCUGUAGCUAGCGUUCAUC
This 318-nucleotide ribosomal RNA is filed under the name uncultured Bacteroidales bacterium. Its description in RNAcentral is "partial 16S ribosomal RNA". The record is from RNAcentral. Lineage: Bacteria; Pseudomonadati; Bacteroidota; Bacteroidia; Bacteroidales.